This is a long non-coding RNA of Cyprinus carpio (common carp), 847 nucleotides long. NCBI's taxonomy places the organism in Eukaryota, Metazoa, Chordata, Actinopteri, Cypriniformes, Cyprinidae. The record is from Ensembl.
GUGCACUCAACACAUGUCCCUUGGGAACCUGACUGAAUGUAAUGACCUUGUGAUGGAUUUCAAGAAUUUUGAGGUGUGUGUGUGUGUGUGUGUUUGUGUGUGUGUGUGCUGUUUGGUCUUUGUUCACAGAGUGUGCUGAAUCGACACAGUCUUGUCAGACAUAGUGAGCCAUCGAUCCAGUAGUGACACCCCUGAUCCUUGGUACACACUCAUAUCCUCAGAGGUUGAGGUAUGUGCUGAGAGUUGCAGAGGACUCAAAAUUGCUGAGACAGAGAGAGUACGCACUCAUGUAUGGAUAAAACAUUUCUUGUUGCAGGGAGAGAAGAGUGUCUCUGUAGACCUGAAACAGCCUGCCAACGCCCCACACAAAACCCUGCAGAGCUACUAGAGCGUCCACAGUGACAAUAAAGCUCACUUCAGACUGAGGGUGUCAGAAAUGUUGCAAAUUUGGCUUGUGAUGCAAAAGAACUGCUGUUGGCCACCCAGCAAAUGUGAUUGAACCGAGACAAGUAAUUCAUACAGGGAGUUUCUGGCUGCUCUCCACAGUAGUCCCAGAUCUUGUGCGUCUCACUGGGUGUGUGCUUGUACUGAAGGUCGUCCAGACCGUUCUGUUGUUCCAUUGCAGGGAACACAUUAAGCACUGGAAGGGGUCUCUGCCAGCUCCUGUAGUCACAGACAUGUUAAGUUCGCUUGUGAAGGGCAUUUGUGUUUCAUUUCCUCUCGCCCUCUCCCUGGCAUCAGCCAUUGACGCAGCUUCCUGCUGAGAGGAAAUUAAAAUUACGAUUUAUUGAAAUUGUUUCAUUAUAUAGGAAGAGUAAUAAAGAAAUCACUCAAGUGUAAAUCUUCA